UCCUACGGGGGAGCAGCAGUAGGGAAUCUUCCACAAUGGACGAAAGUCUGAUGGAGCAACGCCGCGUGAGUGAAGAAGGUUUUCGGAUCGUAAAGCUCUGUUGUUAAUGAAGAACAACAGGGAUAGCAACUGAUAACAGUUUGACGGUAAUCAACCAGAAAGUCACGGCUAACUACGUGCCAGCAGCCGCGGUAAUACGUAGGUGGCAAGCGUUGUCCGGAUUUAUUGGGCGUAAAGCGAACGCAGGCGGGAGAAUAAGUCAGCUGUGAAAGCCCUCAGCUCAACUGGGGAAGUGCAGUUGAAACUACUAAUCUUGAGUGCAGAAGAGGAAAGUGGAACUCCAUGUGUAGCGGUGAAAUGCGUAGAUAUAUGGAAGAACACCAGUGGCGAAGGCGGCUUUCUGGUCUGUAACUGACGCUGAGGUUCGAAAGCAUGGGUAGCGAACAGGAUUAGAUACCCUGGUAGUCCAUGCCGUAAACGAUGAGUGCUAAGUGUUGGGAGGUUUCCGCCUUUCAGUGCCGCAGCUAACGCAUAAACACUCCGCCUGGGAGACACCG
This 557-nucleotide ribosomal RNA is filed under the name Lactobacillus kimbladii. RNAcentral describes it as "bacterial SSU rRNA". It matches the Rfam family "Bacterial small subunit ribosomal RNA", at positions 337 to 885 of the family's 1533-position model. The record is from RNAcentral. Lineage: Bacteria; Bacillati; Bacillota; Bacilli; Lactobacillales; Lactobacillaceae.